RNAcentral lists this long non-coding RNA (1921 nucleotides) under Mus musculus (house mouse). Lineage: Eukaryota; Metazoa; Chordata; Mammalia; Rodentia; Muridae. The record is from RNAcentral.
AAGACGGUAGGUGGACAGAGCGAGCGAGGACGGGUGUCUCCGGUGUCUCGACAUCCUCACUUUCUCAGCUGGGACCGCCUAGCCUGUACCCGCAUUUGCCAGGACCCACAUGGACUAUCCUCAGGAAAAUGAGAUCCAGGAAGAGUGACGCCCUCCUCGAACUGAAAGAUACUCAGGUUGAUGGAGUCAGGGACGAAGUGGCUUAUCAACAACACAGGAUGUCUGCAGGGAACAGAACUUAUUCAGACAUGGCCCAGAUUGUCUGCCCGUGGGGACUGAGGGACCUCUGAGGGUUACAUCAGGAAGGAAGGAGAGGCUGUUUCUACAGGUGCCACAGAAAAAUCGAUGCUGAGCCUCGGAUUAUUGGAUCCCAUAGAACCGUGGAGACUUGGCAGUGAAAUUCUUCCAAAGCAUUCCAUCUGCGCAGGCAGGCAGAGGUUUUCCUGGUUUGGGAAGUAUAAAUCCCGUGGGAAGUCAACUGGAGGACAUUUUACGCGUCACUCAUCCUAUUAUGAGCCUGCUGCUCCUCCGUCUCUUGACAAGGCCACCAACUAGAAGGGCACAGAAUUGUUCAUAAAACAGCUGAAUGUGAAUGUCUUUGGAUUCCCAUUUAAUGAGUUGGCAGCUAAAGGACAGGAGCAGCAAUAAGGCUUCCUGGCUACAUUUUCAUGGUGCCACCAACUGCGAGUUAAGCUGACAAACAUUUUGAGAGCUCGGCCCAUUUCAUUCCCAGCAGGAUGGCAGGAGUUAACUAAAACAGAAUAAACUAAAAAUUGUGCCUUCAUUGCACAUUUGCACUGAUUAUCAGCACUGAAAAUGGCUAAGUUCUGCUUAUCAAGAGCGGGUGACUGAUUGUCCCUGCCAGCUGGCUAAUAUCAUAAUUAGCAAAGUUGCUACCACAUCUGCAAAGUUUAAUCGAAAAAUUUACCAGUGGUAUGAUGGCAUUGUCACCGCGAUCCUGAGGGAAUCAGAGUCGACUUCUGCUUCAACUGGAAUGGCAAGGCUGUAGAGCUGAGAUGAGAAACUGUAAACUUGCUCAGCCAAAGGUUAUGCUUCACAUCACCCACCAGGGAGGAUCAUCUCUCAUGAAAACUUUCAAAUUUGAUUUUGAAAAUUUAUUCAGAAAAAUUUAAGCCACGCUCUUUCCCAACACAGGAAAUAAUAUGCUCCAGAGAAUCCUCUAAUUCACCGAAAAUGGACUUGGAUAACAUUUGGGUUCUCAUACUACCACAGUCCUCUUGAGAAGGACAGCCAGGAGGCUAAUAAUGAAGGGGCCAGGGAAGGAGGCCAAUGCUACAGGGUUAUCUCCUAACCUCAGAUGUUGGAUAAGUCCAUGGAAACAGCAGCGCUUCUGGAUGGCUUCAGAAAGGCUGGAGUGAUUGUUUGGACGAGAAAAACCCGCCUAUUCAUUCAAAGGUACAUGAAUGUUGUCGACACUGUCCCAUCUAAAGGUUCAUCCUUAGAAUUCUGCCUUAGACAAAGGAAGUGCUUGGAGCCCCACCACACCUAAAACCAUGCUUUGAAGGAUCUGCCAAGCUCACUUUUAAUCAUGAGAAAGAAAUUACCCACAUGGAGACAGCAGAAAAUGAGAAAGUAGAGAUCGUGCUGCGAAUAAUUCCAGCGAGUGCCAAGGGGCUAGUUGAGGAAUGGCUUCAUGAGAUGUUAGUCUAUCUAGAACAACAGAUUUGGAUCUAAGCUGGACCUUUGAGAAAGAAAAGACUUCGAGGAAAAACACCUUUCCAUAUGUUUUAUUACCUUUCACCUGAAUUGUUUAAUGCACACUAUCCAACUAUAUUCAUCUUUCUUGCUUCAUGUGUAUUUCUUCUUUUGCUUGAACUGCUUUAGAAUUGACUUUUGAGCUACACAGUCAUUCUGGAUUUUUAAAAAGAGAAUUCUAAUAAAAACUUAUAUAUGUUGUUAA